RNAcentral lists this transfer RNA (74 nucleotides) under Anaerolineae bacterium. Its description in RNAcentral is "tRNA-Cys". It matches the Rfam family "tRNA". Rfam says of the family: Transfer RNA (tRNA) molecules are approximately 80 nucleotides in length. Their secondary structure includes four short double-helical elements and three loops (D, anti-codon, and T loops). The record is from RNAcentral. Lineage: Bacteria; Bacillati; Chloroflexota; Anaerolineae.
GGGUGCGCGGGCCGGUGGGUGAGGCAUCGCAUUGCAAAUGCGACUUGAGCGGGUUCGACUCCCGCGCGCUCCCU